RNAcentral lists this ribosomal RNA (335 nucleotides) under Trypanosoma congolense type riverine/forest. RNAcentral describes it as "partial 18S ribosomal RNA". Lineage: Eukaryota; Euglenozoa; Kinetoplastea; Trypanosomatida; Trypanosomatidae. The record is from RNAcentral.
ACACGCACGUGUCCAAACACGCGUCCCCAUGUCGCUCUCCUUCUCUUGUGUUGCGAAGGUGCUUACGAUUGUGUGCGCCCCGCAAGGGCAAGAAGGGGUGGUGGAGGGGGCGACGUGAUCUUAUGCCGCCCGACGCUUAUUGUGUGCGCACUGGCUCGCUUUUCUCCCCCUUUUUCUCCUCCUCGUCCUCAUCUUUUCCCUGGCAUCCCACGUCUGUUGGGAGAGUGGAGGAAGAAGUGUGUGUGUAUGGAGGUAGUAUCAGCAGAAGGGGAACCAUCGUCAGGCUACCUACGGCUGCCGGGGUAUUGGUCACGGCUCUCACAUGAAGCAACGAU